AGCUCCACGAGCAUGUACGUAAGUUGUUGCAGUUAAAAAGCUCGUAGUUGGAUCUCAGGCCUGUGACCAGUGGUCCGCCCGAUACGGGUGUGUACUGCUGUGUCCGGUCUACGUCUGGUUUCAAUCUAUAGUGCUCUUAACCGGGUGCUAUAGAAUGCCAGAAAGUUUACUCUGAAAAAAUUAGAGUGCUUAAAGCAAGCCGUUGUGCUUGAAUACUGUUGCAUGGAAUAAUGGAAUAGGACCUCGGAUCUAUUU
This 255-nucleotide ribosomal RNA is filed under the name Gastrotricha environmental sample. Its description in RNAcentral is "partial small subunit ribosomal RNA". It matches the Rfam family "Eukaryotic small subunit ribosomal RNA", at positions 587 to 841 of the family's 1831-position model. The record is from RNAcentral. Lineage: Eukaryota; Metazoa; Gastrotricha.